RNAcentral lists this ribosomal RNA (492 nucleotides) under uncultured bacterium. RNAcentral's name for it is "partial 16S ribosomal RNA". It matches the Rfam family "Bacterial small subunit ribosomal RNA", at positions 28 to 507 of the family's 1533-position model. The record is from RNAcentral.
GGUGAACGCUGGCGGUAGGCCUAACACAUGCAAGUCGAACGGCAGCACAGUAAGAGCUUGCUCUUACGGGUGGCGAGUGGCGGACGGGUGAGGAAUACAUCAGAAUCUACUUUUUCGUGGGGGAUAACGUAGGGAAACUUACGCUAAUACCGCAUACGACCUACGGGUGAAAGCAGGGGAUCUUCGGACCUUGCGCGAUUGAAUGAGCCGAUGUCGGAUUAGCUAGUUGGCGGGGUAAAGGCCCACCAAGGCGACGAUCCGUAGCUGGUCUGAGAGGAUGAUCAGCCACACUGGAACUGAGACACGGUCCAGACUCCUACGGGAGGCAGCAGUGGGGAAUAUUGGACAAUGGGCGCAAGCCUGAUCCAGCCAUACCGCGUGGGUGAAGAAGGCCUUCGGGUUGUAAAGCCCUUUUGUUGGGAAAGAAAAGCAGCAGGUUAAUACCCCGCUGUCCUGACGGUACCCAAAGAAUAAGCACCGGCUAACUUCGUG